Myodes glareolus (Bank vole) is the source of this 106-nucleotide small nuclear RNA. NCBI's taxonomy places the organism in Eukaryota, Metazoa, Chordata, Mammalia, Rodentia, Cricetidae. The record is from RefSeq and is a predicted model, not a curated record.
GUGCUCACUUCGGAAGCACAUAUACAAAAAUUGGAACAAUACAGAGAAGAUAAGCAUGGCCCUGAACAACGAUAACAUGCAAAUUUGUGAAGCGUUCCAUAUUUUU